RNAcentral lists this ribosomal RNA (427 nucleotides) under uncultured bacterium. RNAcentral's name for it is "partial 16S ribosomal RNA". It matches the Rfam family "Bacterial small subunit ribosomal RNA", at positions 355 to 774 of the family's 1533-position model. The record is from RNAcentral.
UGGGGAAUAUUGCACAAUGGGCGCAAGCCUGAUGCAGCCAUGCCGCGUGUAUGAAGAAGGCCUUCGGGUUGUAAAGUACUUUCAGCGGGGAGGAAGGCGAUAAGGUUAAUAACCUUGUCGAUUGACGUUACCCGCAGAAGAAGCACCGGCUAACUCCGUGCCAGCAGCCGCGGUAAUACGGAGGGUGCAAGCGUUAAUCGGAAUUACUGGGCGUAAAGCGCACGCAGGCGGUCUGUCAAGUCGGAUGUGAAAUCCCCGGGCUCAACCUGGGAACUGCAUUCGAAACUGGCAGGCUAGAGUCUUGUAGAGGGGGGUAGAAUUCCAGGUGUAGCGGUGAAAUGCGUAGAGAUCUGGAGGAAUACCGGUGGCGAAGGCGGCCCCCUGGACAAAGACUGACGCUGAGGUGCGAAAGCGUGGGGAGCAAACA